RNAcentral lists this long non-coding RNA (10368 nucleotides) under Sorghum bicolor (sorghum). RNAcentral describes it as "long non-coding RNA (SBIC_LNC000833)". The record is from RNAcentral. Lineage: Eukaryota; Viridiplantae; Streptophyta; Magnoliopsida; Poales; Poaceae.
GCCGGCCUCUCCUCUAAUCCUCCUUCGCUCUCCAUCUCGCUACUAUCUAGAUCUACUCUAGUUUAGAGAAGAGAGGAGAGCUCUCAUCUCUAAACCCUAGCUUUUGCUCUGUCUAUGAAUAAUGAAUAAUGAUCAAGGGGUUGUCUCCUCCAGGGGCCAGGGGGUCUGGUUUUAUAGUCCCCUCAAGUGAACCUGGGCCGUCGGAUCAAACCGACAUUGAUUGAACGGUUAUUCUUGAUCCUUUAGGUCGGUGGAGCAUAAUCCGCGAGAUUGAGCGUGAUUGGCCACAGGAGGUGGGCGGGCGCCCAGUAGGACAGGGCGGGCACCCUGCCUGUGGCCCCGAUUCGCCUCCGCUUCGGUCUCGUGGCUUCUGGAGUCUUCUAGAUGUAAGAUAAUUGCGCGGCACGUUAAUAUCUUUACGUAAUCCCGACGUGUGGGCCUUUCUUCCUUAUUUCCUGAUAACCCCCUGCAGAAAUAGACAAACACCAAAACUCGUGGAAUUCUGUCAGAUAAAACCCUAAGUCUAGAUGUUGAUUUCAUUUGGAUCCAUUUCUUUGUUUAUUUGAUAAUUAAAUUUGAUACUUAAGGACCGUCAACAAACUCCCCCAAGCUUACCUCUUGCUCGUCCCUGAGCAAGGAUAGACUCAGCUAUAGAUCAUAAGUUGUUGCAAUAUCUUUAAAAAUUGACGGUACACAUGCUUUUAAAUGAGGUCUCAUCUCUGAGUUAGAGUAAACUGUCAAGACUUAAAACUUACUUACUUUACCUUUCACCAUGGGACUUGUAACCGUCACUUCUGUCUUGAGUGGUUAAAAGAUAGAACAGUCCAGUCAAGUGCCAUGUCGCUUAUUCUUGAUCAGCUAUAGCUCUGGAGUUUUUGCAGAUUUUCAAAUAAAACUCAGAGAUUCCUUUGUAUGACUCUCUCAUAUCUCUCUUUUGUGGUAUUUCUGGAUCCUUACCAAUGCAGUGAUGGUAUAUGCCUUCUCUCAAAACAUGUGGUAUUUGUGGUAUAAGGCAUAGUGACAUUGCCUUCUCUCUCACCCUACUCUAAUAAGGCUUUAAUAUCUGGAGCUCAUAGGUGGGAGAUAAAGUAUACAUACUUACAAGACAUGUAUUGCAUAGUCAAACCAUGGAUCCAAAGAAAUAAAUCAAUAAGCCAAAUCAAGAUGUGCAUGUGUGGCGAAUGAAUAGUGUAUGGUGAUGAUGGUGAUAACAAUGGUGAAAGUCUAAUUCUACUUUUGCUCUUUUAAGGGGAUACAUACCUUCCUUGCUUUUUGAAACUUUAUGAGGAGAAUGAGAUGCUCUUCUUUUUCUUUUCUCUCAGAUGGGUAUCCUGUACCCCUAAUUCUACUGUCAGACACUUGUCCAUUUUUACCUCUCGUCUCACUCUUUUUCUUUUCUUUCGAGGUUCCGGGCACUUGCCCCUUUUUAUUUCCUCGUUUAUUUUUUUUCUUUUCUUUUUUUUCUUCUUUUUUUUCAGAGCACUCAUCUCUUGAGAUAAUAUAGCAAGUGGUAGUAGCAAGAUAACUUGAGCAUUUAUUUCACAAGGGAAAAACACAGAUGUUUUUGGCUAUUCUCUCCCGAAUUAGGAGUAGAAUAUUUUUAGGUGAUUCUGGAGAUGGAAAUGGAUGGAUAUAUAUGGAUGGUACUUCCGGAGUAGAAGUAGCAUAUAUAUGAGUGAACGUGCAAGUGAAUCUUGAUUUAACCACAUGACAAGCUCCUAAGGGUCUACACAGCUUGACCACACUCAAUGCUCAUAAGCAGUAAAUAAUAAAUGUGUGGCUCAAAGUCUAGCAAGCAUGUAUAUAUGGCUGUGGUAGGAAUUUAAACUUUCAUCAUACAGGAACUCAUCAUGCAACAUUUUAAAGAUUUUUCAAAGAUAAAAUUCUCCAGAAUUCUAGCAUCUCUAGGAACAGAUAAACAGCAGCUCAACCUUCCCAUAUCUUAUCCGUUAACAACUUAGAUUUUAGAUCAAGUUUUCAUCCCACAAGUUUAGAUCUAGAGCAAGCUUUAAAUUAUAACAGUUAUGUCUAAACUUGAGAGAGAACUUCAAAUUUGCAAAUUAGGCAGAGCAACUAUUCAUCAUAUCCAUGCUAGAGUUUUAUUAUUAAGAUUCAUAGCAAACUUUAUUUAUUUAUUUAUUUAUUUAUUUAGCAAACUAAGAAAAGUAUAUAUAUAUAAGCAUAAAAUCUUUAUUUGGUUUUUCAUAGUUUAUGUAUUUUAAUAUUCUAAUAUAAUAUAAGUAUAAAGAUAGGUAGAAAUACUUAGCGAGAUAAAUAGGGGUGCUCUCCCUCAAGCUGAAUUUUGACGUAAUUUCUCUUGAUGUAGCUAGCAGGUGGCAGAGGUGUAUUUGAAAGUCAGCAGCAUUCUGACAGCAAUUAGAAUAUCCUCUAUCUUUCGGCGAGGGUUCAAUGUUUUAAGUCUUCUUAACAAGACUUCUCACCGUGUUCAUUCUUCAGGUGCGUCAUUUGAUUCAGGUGCGGACCUUGACGUCUGCACCUCUUGAUACGGUGUCGCCCAUAUUCUUCGUUUGCCCAGCAGUUCGAAGUGCGGUGUUAGCAGUAUCUUGCUCAAUGUGUUUGUGCUCGUAGUGUACCUGCUCAUAGAGACAAGGCAGAGAUCAAGUGAACCAAAAGUGUAUUUGUUCUUCUCUAACCUUAAGCAUAGUGAGCAAGACAAGUUGAUGGAUGAUAAGUUCAUGAGUGUAGCACUUAUAACAUUUGUCAGAUCAGAUCGCUCAACCUUAUGGAAAGAUAAUCUAUCUAUGUAUAUGUCUUUUUAUUUAUAUCUCUCAAUGAUUGAAUGUGUAACAUUUUAGCUCAUAUGAUUAGGAGUGUGGGAUCAUGGAGGUAGUACUAAGAACAAGGAUUAAAGGACUAAACAUGUUGAAUCAGUUGGGUUGGUUAAUCUAGAGUUGUAAAUCAUACACGUUUGUCUCUUUUAUUUAUAUGAACGCCAGAACCAAGGAGAAGCUUAUAAAAGUGAUAGUCAAGUACCUUAGGAUGUUACCUUGCUUGAAAAGUGAUGGUACAGUAUCACCUUGUGGAAGCUUUCCUUUCUUAGCGGUUGUGCAUCGUGUUCGUGGCACCCUCCAUGGAUCUUCACUUUAUGAUGAAUGAGCUAUGUCCUUCUUGUGCUAAUUGUUAAACUUCAUGUGUCACUUUCUUCGUCUCUGAUGUGAGUUUAUCUCAGGACUUCCCAAAUCGAUAUUGAAAGUUUUUCUGCAGGGGUUAGUCCAACAAAAUAUACCAAUAUCUACUCAAGCAGUUUUUAGUUCAAUAACCAAACUAGACUCCUUGUCUAAUCAGAUUAAGGAAGGCUAUUUAACCUAAGCACCAUGCUUAAUUUAAAUGCCAAUGGAAGUAUGGCGAGUACUUCCAAACCAACACUUGCUAGUAAAUAGACAACGGUAGCAUGACAGCGUUUAUAGAGAUCUACUCAAGUGGAGAUGAAGUAGUGUGAUUAGUAUUUAACAAAUUGAGCAUGUCUCAAAGGUAGGGACAACCAGCAUAGCAACAUGGCAAAGGAUGUUUUUAUGUAAAGUACUCCCCCAAGCUUGAAUUUUGCAAAAAUUCAAGUUUGGAUGAAUUUAAUUCAAUGUUGUAUGAUGAUUGGUUGGACAUACCUUGUGCUUGUCAUUCAUCCGAUCUUCUUGCUCCAAUCUUAGAAAGGUUAGUGACAAGAAUACCCGAAGGAAUAUAUUUUUUUUACAAUUAUCCUUAUAUGCUCAAUACACAAGGUAAUGUUGCAAAUAAUUAAAGGCUCAUGUUACGAUCUGAUCAAUGCUUAUUUUAAGACACUAAGCUUGUCCUUGGGAAACCAUCAGUUUAUGUUGGCGAAGUGGUUUCCCCUCCGACGCCAACCUAUAUCUAGAUCAACUCAACGAGAUCUGCAAUAUUUAUUAUAGACAUAUGCAUCGACAACCGCCCUUUUAAAGUUUUUAUAAAUAGAAAGGAAGAGGGGGUUGGAGAUCUCAAGUGUGGUGAUGUCGGAGAGACCAAUAGAUUGGGAAGAUGUUGCAUAUGAGCAUGGAGUAAACGAAGUGGCUAUGAAAUAAAUUCCAUGCUCAUUAAUGUUAUCUUCGUCUCUAAUCUGAAUGUUCGGAGUUUCUCCUGGAUUGGUCUCACCUAUGUCCUGUUCUGUAGUUGGAUGAAUCUCAUCUUCAAAGGGAGUCAAGAACUCACCAUUUGAAAUUGAGCCAAAGUCAGAACCUAUUAAGGCUUCUUUCUUAUCCAUCCAUUCUACACAUUCUAGCCAUUUAGAACUUGUGAUCAAAAUAGGGGAGGUGUUAGAAUUUUCUAUAUGGCUUAGCUCUCCUUCUAUGGCAUUACUUGACAUGCCAUCCUUAUGGUCUUCAUGACUCCUAUGGUUUGGUCGUCUUGGUGAAUUGCUAGGAUCAUCAUGAGAGUGAAAAGAAGAGGGAUAAGAGGGAUCUCUAAGGUCAAGGAUGGAUUUAGAACUUGUGAACAUGGAAGGGGAGUAGAUAGAAUUGUCUAUAUGGCUUAGCUCUCCUUCACUUGAUAUGUCAUCCUCGACUUCUUCAUGAUAGGAACCAGGACAUUCUCUAAGAGAAACAUUAUUGCAAUGAUUUGAAUUAUCCCUGCUUGAAGGUCUCUUAUAGAACUAGAAGUCUAAACCAUCAGCAUUUAAAAGAUUUAAGGUCGGAAUUCCUUCCUCCCUUGGAGAAUUUUGGGGUAUUGAUGGUUUAGAAUCGAUAGCUAAAGUUUGGGAUUGAAGUGGUUGUGAUCUGGCUAUCAAAACUUCUUCUUCUUGUCUAGGAACUGGUUCUUUCUCUUUCUCAGGGAUAUAAAAGCUAGGAGACUUUCCGCUCAUUAAAUCAAUCAAAUUCCAAGCUUCACUAGCGGAUAUGUGGUGGAAAGAUCCUCCAGAGGCCGCAUGAAGGGUUUGCCUAUUUUUCCUACUAAGGCCCUCAAAAAAGUGAAUUAGAAGAACUUCUUCUGGAAUAGAAAGUUUUGGGCCAGUGAGAGUAAGGUUAAUAAAGCGGUCCCAUGAUUUGCCAAGAGAUUCUUCUUCCAGUUGUCUAAAAGAAAGAAUCUCACGCCGAAGUUCCACCACUUUGGAGAUUGGAAAAUAUUUAGAUAGAAAACUACUAUAUAACUCCUUCCAAUCUCCAUGAACACUCCCUACUUUAAGUUUAUACCAAUGUCUAGCUUUUCCCGUUAAAGAGAACGGAAAGAGCUUCCAUUUAAGGGUCUCAUCGGACAUGCCUUCUAUGCGAAGGAGGUCACAGACUCGAUAAAACUCUCUAAGGUGUGUGUAUGGGUUUUCCUCACCUUCUCCUGAGAAAGGUUGUUUUUGAAUAAAUUCUAUGUAUUCGGGGUCUAUCUCAAAACUAGAUGCUAUGAUAGGCUUUGAAGAUUUUGGUGGUUCGAGAUGUGUGCCCAUAGGUCUAUGAAAUUCAUAGAUAGACAUGUUUGAAUUCAUGAUAGACCAGAGAUCAAGGAUUAGAUAAGAAGAAAGAUUAGCAGAGAUGAGGCAAAGGAUAAAAGGAAAAUAUUUUUUUUAUUAUUUUUUUUAAAAAAAUGAUUAAGCUAGUUCGUAGUCAACUCAGCAACCGUUUCCCCGGCAACGGUGCCAAAAAUGCUUGUUGACACUUGCUAACACCACUUGAAUACUAGGUUGUCAUCCCCAGCAUGGCACUAGAGUGUACUAUGGUAUUUAUACGCACACAGAUAAUCCGCAAGCGCACGGAUACCGUUGAAGCUUUUACCCGGUUAAAGGUUUUAUCGUAUCCACAGGGAAACGGGAGAACCAACUACGCUCUAACUUAACCAAGAUAGAUAGAUAGGUGUAAAUAGGAAAGAUGAUAGAAUCGAAUAAGAACAAUAUUAAAGGUAAGAUAACAGUGAGUGAUAAUAUGGGAAUAGAGAAUAGAGCAAUUCUAGUAUAUGGGCGAUGGUAGCAGAAUAGAGAGGAUAACUAUGGUUUCUCUACUUCAAAGGGGUAUGUCUAUGUCUGGGACGAACCACGUGAUAAGAGUACACCACAAAGGAUGCUUAUCCAUAGGCCGAUAAACCCUACCCGUCCUGCUAACGAGAGGUGGACUACAGGGGACCAACGUAACUGUCACCUACGCGGCCUACCACAUGAUCUAGCUAGUCGGGGGAUAUCCACAAGUAAUCUAGGUCUAAGCACCACGCUUACACCUAUACUACAACUCUAACCUAUAGGGUCCUAUAGAUUAGAAGUACUCAAAAGAGUUGUGAACCAGAACAUACAUGAUUAGUAAUUGCAUAAUGAAUUAGAAGUAGAUUACCAGAGUCAUCCCAUGAGCAAGCUUGAUUAGAGCUUGAUCAUGGCGAAGUACAACCGGAGGAAGAACAGACAGGCCGGCCUCUCCUCUAAUCCUCCUUCGCUCUCCACCUCGCUACUAUCUAGAUCUACUCUAGUUUAGAGAAGAGAGGAGAGCUCUCAUCUCUAAACCCUAGCUUUUGCUCUGUCUAUGAAUAAUGAAUAAUGAUCAAGGGGUUGUCUCCUCCAGGGGCCAGGGGGUCUGGUUUUAUAGUCCCCUCAAGUGAACCUGGGCCGUCGGAUCAAACCGACAUUGAUUGAACGGUUAUUCUUGAUCCUUUAGGUCGGUGGAGCAUAAUCCGCGAGAUUGAGCGUGAUUGGCCACAGGAGGUGGGCGGGCACCCAGUAGGACAGGGCGGGCACCCUGUCUCUGGCCCCGAUUCGCCUCCGCUUCGGUCUCGUGGCUUCUGGAGUCUUCUAGAUGUAAGAUAAUUGCGCGGCACGUUAAUAUCUUUACGUAAUCCCGACGUGUGGGCCUUUCUUCCUUAUUUCCUGAUAACCCCCUGCAGAAAUAGACAAACACCAAAACUCGUAGAAUUCUGUCAAAUAAAACCCUAAGUCUAGAUGUUGAUUUCAUUUGGAUCCUUUUCUUUGUUUAUUUGAUAAUUAAAUUUGAUACUUAAGGACCGUCAACAAACUCCCCCAAGCUUACCUCUUGCUCGUCCCUGAGCAAGGAUAGACUCAGCUAUAGAUCAUAAGUUGUUGCAAUAUCUUUAAUAAUUGACGGUACACAUGCUUUUACAUGAGGUCUCAUCUCUGAGUUAGAGUAAACUGUCAAGACUUAAAACUUACUUACUUUACCUUUCACCAUGGGACUUGUAACCGUCACUUCUGUCUUGAGUGGUUAAAAGCUAGAACAGUCCAGUCAAGUGCCAUGUCGCUUAUUCUUGAUCAGCUAUAGCUCUGGAGUUUUUGCAGAUUUUCAAAUAAAACUCAGAGAUUCCUUUGUAUGACUCUCUCAUAUCUCUCUUUUGUGGUAUUUCUGGAUCCUUACCAAGGCAGUGAUGGUAUAUGCCUUCUCUCAAAACAUGUGGUAUUUGUGGUAUAAGGCAUAGUGACAUUGCCUUCUCUCUCACCCUACUCUAAUAAGGCUUUAAUAUCUGGAGCUCAUAGGUGGGAGAUAAAGUAUACAUACUUACAAGACAUGUAUUGCAUAGUCAAACCAUGGAUCCAAAGAAACAAAUCAAUAAGCCAAAUCAAGAUGUGCAUGUGUGGCGAAUGAAUAGUGUAUGGUGAUGAUGGUGAUAACAAUGGUGAAAGUCUAAUUCUACUUUUGCUCUUUUGAGGGGAUACAUACCUUCCUUGCUUUUUGAAACUUUAUGAGAAGAAUGAGAUGCUAUUCUUUUUCUUUUCUCUCACAUGGGUAUCCUGUACCCCUAAUUCUACUGUCGGACACUUGUCCAUUUUUACCUCUCGUCUCACUCUUUUUCUUUUCUUUCGAGGUUCCGGGCACUUGCCCCUUUUUAUUUCCUCGUUUAUUUUUUUUUUCUUUUCUUUUUUUCUUCUUCUUUUUUUUCAGAGCACUCAUCUCUUGAGAUAAUAUAGCAAGUGGUAGUAGCAAGAUAACUUGAGCAUUUAUUUCACAAGGGAAAAACACAGAUGUUUUUGGCUAUUCUCUCCCGAAUUAGGAGUACAAUAUUUUUAGGUGAUUCUGGAGAUGGAAAUGGAUGGAUAUAUAUGGAUGGUACUUUCGGAGUAGAAGUAGCAUAUAUAUGAGUGAACGUGCAAGUGAAUCUUGAUUUAACCACAUGACAAGCUCCUAAGGGUCUACACAGCUUGACCACACUCAAUGCUCAUAAGCAGUAAAUAAUAAAUGUGUGGCUCAAAGUCUAGCAAGCAUGUAUAUAUGGCUGUGGUAGGAAUUUAAACUUUCAUCAUACAGGAACUCAUCAUGCAACAUUUUAAAGAUUUUUCAAAGAUAAAAUUCUCCAGAAUUCUAGCAUCUCUAGGAACAGAUAAACAGCAGCUCAACCUUCCCAUAUCUUAUCCGUUAACAACUUAGAUUUUAGAUCAAGUUUUCAUCCCACAAGUUUAGAUCUAGAGCAAGCUUUAAAUUAUAACAUCUAUGUCUAAACUUGAGAGAGAACUUCAAAUUUGCAAAUUAGGCAGAGCAACUAUUCAUCAUAUCCAUGCUAGAGUUUUAUUAUUAAGAUUCAUAGCAAACUUUAUUUAUUUAUUUAUUUAUUUAGCAAACUAAGAAAAGUAUAUAUAUAUAAGCAUAAAAUCUUUAUUUGGUUUUUCAUAGUUUAUGUAUUUUAAUAUUCUAAUAUAAUAUAAGUAUAAAGGUAGGUAUAAAUACUUAGCGAGAUAAAUAGGGGUGCUCUCCCUCAAGCUGAAUUUUGACGUAAUUUCUCUUGAUGUAGCUAGCAGGUGGCAGAGGGGUAUUUGAAAGUCAGCAGCAUUCUGACAGCAAUUAGAAUAUCCUCUAUCUUUCGGCGAGGGUUCAAUGUUUUAAGUCUUCUUAACAAGACUUCUCACCGUGUUCAUUCUUCAGGUGCGUCAUUUGAUUCAGGUGCGGACCUUGACGUCUGCACCUCUUGAUACGGUGUCACCCAUAUUCUUCGUUUGCCCAGCAGUUCGAAGUGCGGUGUUAGCAGUAUCUUGCUCAAUGUGUUUGUGCCCGUAGUGUACCUGCUCAUAGAGACAAGGCAGAGAUCAAGUGAACCAAAAGUGUAUUUGUUCUUCUCUAACCUUAAGCAUAGUGAGCAAGACAAGUUGAUGGAUGAUAAGUUCAUGAGUGUAGCACUUAUAACAUUUGUCAGAUCAGAUCGCUCAACCUUAUGGAAAGAUAAUAUAUCUAUGUAUAGGUCUUUUUAUUUAUAUCUCUCAAUGAUUGAAUGUGUAACAUUUUAGCUCAUAUGAUUAGGAGUGUGGGAUCAUGGAGGUAGUACUAAGAACAAGGAUUAAAGGACUAAACAUGUUGAAUCAGUUGGGUUGGUUAAUCUAGAGUUGUAAAUCAUACACGUUUGUCUCUUUUAUUUAUAUGAACGCCAGAACCAAGGAGAAGCUUAUAAAAGUGAUAGUCAAGUACCUUAGGAUGUUACCUUGCUUGAAAAGUGAUGGUACAGUAUCACCUUGUGGAAGCUUUCCUUUCUUAGCGGUUGUGCAUCGUGUUCGUGGCACCCUCCAUGGAUCUUCACUUUAUGAUGAAUGAGCUAUGUCCUUCUUGUGCUAAUUGUUAAACUUCAUGUGUCACUUUCUUCGUCUCUGAUGUGAGUUUAUCUCAGGACUUCCCAAAUCGAUAUUGAAAGUUUUUCUGCAGGGGUUAGUCCGACAAAAUAUACCAAUAUCUACUCAAGCAGUUUUUAGUUCAAUAACCAAACUAGACUCCAUGUCUAAUCAGAUUAAGGAAGGCUAUUUAACCUAAGCACCAUGCUUUAUUUAAAUGCCAAUGGAAGUAUGGCGAGUACUUCCAAACCAACACUUGCUAGUAAAUAGACAACGGUAGCAUGACAGCGUUUAUAGAGAUCUACUCAAGUGGAGAUGAAGUAGUGUGAUUAGUAUUUAACAAAUUGAGCAUGUCUCAAAGGUAGGGACAACCAGCAUAGCAACAUGGCAAAGGAUGUUUUUAUGUAAAGUACUCCCCCAAGCUUGAAUUUUGCAAAAAUUCAAGUUUGGAUGAAUUUAAUUCAAUGUUGUAUGAUGAUUGGUUGGACAUACCUUGUGCUUGUCAUUCAUCCGAUCUUCUUGCUCCAAUCUUAGAAAGGUUAGUGACAAGAAUACCCGAAGGAAUAUAUUUUUUUUUACAAUUAUCCUUAUAUGCUCAAUACACAAGGUAAUGUUGCAAAUAAUUAAAGGCUCAUGUUACGAUCUGAUCAAUGCUUAUUUUAAGACACUAAGCUUGUCCUUGGGAAACCAUCAGUUUAUGUUGGCGAAGUGGUUUCCCCUCCGACGCCAACCUAUAUCUAGAUCAACUCAACGUGAUCUGCAAUAUUUAUUAUAGACAUAUGCAUCGACAACCGCCCUUUUAAAGUUUUUAUAAAUUGAAAGGAAGAGGGGGUUGGAGAUCUCAAGUGUGGUGAUGUCGGAGAGACCAAUAGAUUGGGAAGAUGUUGCAU